UACGUAGGGUGCAAGCGUUAAUCGGAAUUACUGGGCGUAAAGCGUGCGCAGGCGGUGAUGUAAGACAGGUGUGAAAUCCCCGGGCUUAACCUGGGAACUGCAUUUGUGACUGCAUGGCUGGAGUGCGGCAGAGGGGGAUGGAAUUCCGCGUGUAGCAGUGAAAUGCGUAGAUAUGCGGAGGAACACCGGUGGCGAAGGCGGCGUCCUGGACCAACACUGACACUGAGGAGCGAAAGCCAGGGGAGCAAACGGG
RNAcentral lists this ribosomal RNA (253 nucleotides) under uncultured bacterium. RNAcentral describes it as "partial 16S ribosomal RNA". It matches the Rfam family "Bacterial small subunit ribosomal RNA", at positions 524 to 776 of the family's 1533-position model. The record is from RNAcentral.